AUGACUGGUGAAGUAAGAACAACACAAUUUCCAGAACCCCCUCUGAAUUUCCUCCUCUCCUCGCUACUUCCUGCAUGAGACUGAACAUCGCCUGACACAGAGAGUGCGAUAUUCUCCCUCAGGAGAAACACUUUUUUAUUCUCCUACAUCAGCAUAGAACAAGUAACUGGUCUCACACGUAUAAACUGGAUGGGCUGGUGAAGCACAUGGAUCCCAAGGCCACUUCCGCUGACAUCCUGAAAUGAUGGUCAAAUGUAACUUCCUCCUGGAAGCUCCUCCUUGGAUCUGUACAAGCUGGAUCCCAGAUCUCUUCAGCACCCUGACUGAUAUCGCAUCUCAGGUGAUGUCUCAGGCAGACCACGAGAGAGACCAACCGACUAGGUAUCCACCUUCUGCUUGCUCUGUAUUAUUUCAAGUUUGUUUAGGCAAUAGAGAUCCAAGUUUGAAAAAACAUCUCUAAACCCUAUCUCUCUUUUCCUGCCUCUUACAUCUUGGGGUGAUCACAUGACACAGUUCAGCUCAGUGAGCCAGUGGAAGACAAAUGCUAUAAAGUGAUUGCCAGUAAAUAAAAUUCAGCUCCCCAUUGCCAUCACAAUUGGACUGUUUUUUUGCAUAUAAUACUAGCUAAUAAAAUACCGAAGCUUGGUUUGCAAAACCUAAGUUUUCAUAAUAAAGUAAAUCAAUUUCAGAAAGAGUUGAAGAUGCUCUUUCCCCGGCAGCAAUAAAUCAACAGAUUUUGUUGGGUGUUAGAAAAUGGCUCAAGGAAUUGAAUUUGAUACUGUGCAAAACUGAGA
Molecule: long non-coding RNA, 794 nt
Organism: Heterocephalus glaber (naked mole-rat)
Lineage: Eukaryota; Metazoa; Chordata; Mammalia; Rodentia; Bathyergidae
Source: RefSeq, a predicted model, not a curated record